AUUAGUUUUUUGGUUUAAUUUUUUCCAGUUGAAAGCAGAGUUAGGACGUAUUUUGGAGAAGAGUGAUGUUGUGCAAGACAUGAAGGAAUGAUGGAAAUUGCACAAAUAUAAAAUGCUGUCUGCUAUUAAAAAGACAAAGCAAAAGAAUGUCAGCAGUGUCCUUGAAGAGCUGGAGGAUUGUCCAGUUGAAGAUGAGAAAGAGGUCAAGAACCGGUGUAUAAUGGCAUGUUUGCCUUAUGUGUUAGAUGACCAAUGCACCCAUCGAGAUAUGAACAAAAAGCUUUUUUGGGACAUUGUUGAUGUAAGAGUUGAUAUUGUCACAAAUAAUAUUUUCUGCAUAAAUGUGUAAAAAAAUUGAUAAAUAAUUUUAUCUCUGUUGAAGGGUAAAAGCUUUGGGGAAGUUCAAGCGAUCAUUAACAAAAGUUUGUCUCCUAGACUCCUAUCAACAGGAACAUUAAGAAACAUUCAUUCAAUAAUGUUGGUGGCCGAAGGGAUGAUUGUGGCCAAGCUGAAAACGGAAAAUAUUGUCAACGCAGUUAUUAUUUUACUUAGUUCUUUUUAUACUUUUAAUGCUUAGUAUCCUAAAGGCAUUAAUAGACAUUGCAAAAAUGUAUUUAUUCUUUUAGAACAUUUGCUUUUAAAUUCAAAUGGCAAUUGCAAGGCUCAAUUGCCAACUUUUGUCGAUCAUUUUAUUUCUUCUAUGAAGUAGAAAACUUUUGUAGUGUUAAUUAAUUGCAUGUACUAGAGAUUUUAAGUAUUCUGUGUUUCCAAAAGUGCUAUUUAUAA
This is a long non-coding RNA of Xenia sp. Carnegie-2017, 786 nucleotides long. RefSeq lists it as uncharacterized. Lineage: Eukaryota; Metazoa; Cnidaria; Anthozoa; Malacalcyonacea; Xeniidae. The transcript has 2 exons. The record is from RefSeq and is a predicted model, not a curated record.